GGGUUCCUGCGGCCGCCUCAGGGGGAGACGGCUAGCCUCCCCGGAUGCAGCCUCUACUCGGCUGCUGUAACACUCCUUCCGCUGAGCAUACUCUCUCUCUUUCGCCAGCCGGAAUUCUCGGGCCAGCCUUGUGUUUCGCUCGCCCGUGACCUGGUUCCAGAUCACCCGGCGUACCUCCAUGGGUAAAUCAUCCCCAUACUGGGCCACUCGCUGCCUCACCUCGG
Pelobates cultripes (western spadefoot toad) is the source of this 224-nucleotide non-coding RNA. NCBI's taxonomy places the organism in Eukaryota, Metazoa, Chordata, Amphibia, Anura, Pelobatidae. The record is from the annotation of a GenBank genome assembly.